GACAGAGGGUGCAAACGUUGCUCGGAAUUACUGGGCGUAAAGCGCGUGUAGGCGGCCCUGCAAGUCGGGUGUGAAAUCCCAUGGCUCAACCAUGGAAGUGCACUCGAAACUGCAGGGCUAGAGUCCUGGAGAGGAAGGUGGAAUGCUUGGUGUAGAGGUGAAAUUCGUAGAUAUCAAGCGGAACACCGGUGGCGAAGGCGGCCUUCUGGACAGUGACUGACGCUGAGACGCGAAAGCGUGGGGAGCGAACAGG
RNAcentral lists this ribosomal RNA (253 nucleotides) under uncultured bacterium. Its description in RNAcentral is "partial 16S ribosomal RNA". It matches the Rfam family "Bacterial small subunit ribosomal RNA", at positions 524 to 776 of the family's 1533-position model. The record is from RNAcentral.